UUUUUAGUAGAGACGAGGUUUCACCAUGUUGGCCAGGCUGGUCUCGAUCACCUGACCUCAAGUGAUCCACCCUGUGGCCUCCUGUUUGUAUUCUUAAAUACUGUGGUGUUUCCUUUACUUUUUUAAGAGCUUUACAGAAAUUCCAUGCUGCUUGUAGCUUCCUUGCCACUCUGCAUCAUGUUGGUAAGUCUUUGCUGAUGCCUGCUGCUGUAGCUUAUUUUUCACUGUGAUAAUCUGUUCCAUUGUGUGGACUGACCACAGUUGAUUGAUCUGUUCUCCAAGGACAUGUGAGUUGUUUGCAGGUGUCCCCCACCCCUCCCGAUACAAACAGUGGUGCUGUGGGCAUUUCACACAUCUGGUUGCCUAUGCCAGAAUUUCCGGGGUAUAUAGCUAGGACCCAGUACUGCUGUUGAAUUUUCCUAGGAUUGUAGACUCUCAAAUUUUGAAUGGACUUCUUUGGCCAAGCAGUUCACCUUCAUCAGUCAUCUCAAAAGAAAUGCCCCUGGUGUGAUGGUUGAGAGUGCUGUUCUGGAACAGGAGGGACAUAGACCUUCUGGGCCUUUGCCUCAUUUUAUUACUUAGUUUAUUUAUUUAUUUAUUUAUUUAUUUAUUUAUUUAUUUAUUUUUAUUUUAUUUAAGACAGAGUCUUGCUCUAUUGCCCAGGCUGGAGUGCAGUGGCAUGAUCUUGGCUCACUGCAAGCUCUACCUCCCAGGUUCACACCAUUCUCCUGCCUCAGCCUCUGGAGUAGCUGGGACUACAGGUGCCUGCCACCACGCCUGGCUAAUUUUUUGUAUUUUUAGUAGAGACGGGGUUUCACUGUGUUAGCCAGGAUGGUCUCGAUCUCCUGACCUCGUGAUCCUCCCACCUCGGCCUCCCAAAGUGCUGGGAUUACAGGCGUGAGCCACCAUGCCUGGCUACUUAGUUUAUUAUGCCAUGAACUUAAAAAUCUCUCUACCUCAGUAGUUUCCCCGUCUGUGAAUUGAGUCUGUAUUUUCCUAAGGGUUAAAUAAGAUAGAGGCCUGGCAUGGUGUCUCAUGCCUGUAAUUCUAGCACUUUGGGAGGCUGAGGUAGGAGAAUCACUUGAGCUCAGGAGUUGGAGACCAGCCCGGGCAACAUAGUUGGACCCUGUCUCUACAAAAAUGAAAAAUACAAAAAAAAUUAGCUGGAUGUGGUGGCAUGUGCCUGCAGUCCCAGCUACCAGAGGCUGAGACGGGAUAAUUGCUUGAGUCUGGGAGGUCGAUGCUGCAGUGAGCUGCAACAGAGUGACACCUUGUCUCAGAAAAAAUAAAAGAGAGAGAGAAAGAUACAGCGUGCACAGAGAUUAACUCACAGCCUGGAAAUAAUAAACACAGAGUAAGUGCUCCCUGCUGUUUGCCUUGUUCCUGUUGGUGUUUAAAGAUCAGUUACACUUGCGGAGGCAGAACUGACGCCCAGGAGAGGGGCAGUAAGUAGCAGAAGGGAAACAACCUGGGCCCAGUUUACUUCCCCUCAACAUGGGCCAAAGACGCCAGGCAGGAUCAUAGUCCGGCUGGAUUGUGGCUUUCCUCAAGGUGAUCUUGACUUACCCAGGUGGGAUUUCACCCCACUUCCUUCCGGGCUUCCCAUUUUGGGCUUGAAAUGUAGGCCUGUUGGGGCCUCCUCCAGUAGACGUGUGCUUUCUGGCCCCUUGAGCUUGGAUACCUCCCUGCCAAGAUAAGCCUUUCAAAAACAGAAAAAUAUCGCAACUGAAUAGAAGGGGCUCCCAAGAGGCCCCACCCUGCUCCGGAUAUCUCAAUGAGGAAUCAAUAGCUGUUAAUUCCUGUGCUGCCCCCUGCCUGACAUUCUAUCCACACUUGAGACCCAGAUUGUAAGAAGGGAGAGCAGGCAGGUCUCUCUUGCAGGAGAGGGACCUGGUUCAUCAGCAGGAUUUAUUCAUUCAUGUAUUACGUCAGGCUCAGCGCCUGGGCUUUUUAUAAAUGAGGGCUCUGCUGGCGUUCUGUGUUAUUCAGAUAUUCGGUGAGAGACCACCAGAAGCCACAAAAAAUUGCUGACAUCUGUUGGAAGGCAGUCAUGCAUAAUGGAUAAGGGUGUGCUCUGCAGUUCCAGCAGCGUUGAUUUGAAUUCCCCGUCUUCCGCUUCAAAACUCUGAGAUCUCAGCAAGUUACUUACCCUCUAGAACCUCCAUGUCCUCAUCUGUAAAACUAGAAAAUAAAUAGUACUCGCUAGAUCCUUACCUUGUUGUGAGAGUAGAAUGACGUGAACGUAGGCUUUCCCAGAGCUGGCAUGUUGUAGGUGCUCAGUAAGUGCUGGUUAUUCUCUCUGUCUUUCUCACUCUGUCGCCUAGGCUGGAGGGCAGUGGCAUGAUCAUAGCUCACAACAGCCUCUAUCUCCCAGGCUCAAGGGAUGCUCCUGCCUCAGCCUCCCGAGUAGCUGGGACUUGCAGGUAUGUGCUACCACUCCCAGCCAAUUUGUUUUAUUUUUAGUAUAGAUGGGCUCUUGUUAUGUGGUCCCUGCUGGAGCGCUAGUUGCUCUGUAAUUGGCUUGUGAGCCCCAGGGUAGGCACACUGGUACUGGGGCUAUAGCAAAAUCAGUGCUCGGUAAAUCGUCAUUGAAGGAGCAAGGGUGCUUUACAGUUGUAGAAGCUCAUGGUACACGUCACUUUGGUUUUUCUCUUCCCAGCUCUGGAGUCCUGGGAUCCAAGUGUGAGCCCCAUGUCUGCAAAAUGAGGCUGGUCACUGGCCUCCUCUUGGAUCUUGCUUUCCUUGUCUGUUAGUGAGCUUGUAGAUAGCUCUGUCACCAGGCUUUGCUCUGAGCACUCUGCAUCUGUAUUCAACCUGUAUACUUAAUCUUCACAACAGUUGCAGUGGUUGAUCCAUAGUAAUUUCUCUGUUGUACAGAUGGAGAAACUGAGGCAGAGAGCUAAGUGUCUUCCCAAGGUUUACAGCUAACCAGUAGCAGGGCAUACCGGGAUUUGAAAGACCCUCUAUGUGUCCUAACUGGUAUGCUCUCCUGUCUAGAGGUGAUCUCUUCCUCCAGGGUUCCAGGUAGGUUGGUUGAGACAUGCAAUGCGGAAGAGCCUGGGGAGAUAAGUCUGCUAAUGGCACCCGCAGGCUACCCAGCCCUCAGGAACUCAGAGCAGAGCAGUUGAGGAUGCCUUUCAAGGUUACCUGUGCCAGAGUUCCUGGGGUACAUAUUAAAUAGGUAGGACCCAAUACUGCUUUGGAUUUUCCUGGAAUCAUAUAGACUCUUAACAUUGGAAAGGAUUCCUUUGCCAAGUAGUUCACCCUCAUCAUUAAUCUCUAAGAAAUGUGGAGGUGGAAUUAGAAGGUGGCUGUCUCUUUCUUUUGCACCGCAGAUUCUAUCGAGUCUCAUCUGGCAUCGUCAAGGAUCAUUCGCAUUCUUUCAUCUCUGUGGAAUGUCACUGGAUUGAGAUGAUUCUAAGGGUGGGGUCAAGCAUUUGGAGUUUGGAACUCUUUACUUUUUGUGGAGAUGCUCCCGUGCGACUUGCCCUGCACCCAGUUCAGCUUGCUUGGGAUGCAUCUGCUGAGCCUGGAAGAGAAGUACGGGUUCAAGGCCUGUCGUGCAGCCCUCCCACAGACCUGAUCUGCAAUAGGGAAGGGUUGCCUCUGUGUGGGUUGGGAGUUUAAUCAUCAAGAGUGGAUUAGCAGCAGGCUCAUUCUGUUUACUCCAGUAGGUCACGGGGCCAAGGGCAAACAUACACCCGUCCCAGCCCAGAAACUGAUAGCUGCAAAGUUGCACACCCUUCUCCCCAAAUUGACAAAUAUGGUUUUCAUUGUUGGGGUAAUAAAUUAUGCUUUUAAGGAUAAAAAUGUUGCCCAGCUGUUGAGUGGUUUAAACUUCCAGAUGUUCCUCUGCUCAGUAAUCAGAGCAGGAUGCAUGAUGGGAUCUCUUUAAAAGCUGAUGAAUAGAAUGGUUCAUUAAAUUUCAACAAUGUGCCUGGGAUGCCAAGGGGAGGUGUAGUAUCUCCCUUGAGGGAAGGAGGUACCCAUUUCCUAGGGUGCUUGGGUGAAGAAUUAGCAAGUAGUAACUGAAGACCAGUGAACUAUAUUUGCAGGUAGGGAGGCCUAAGUCUGGUCCCUGCUGACUGUGUGACUUUGGGCUGAGCAGUUGACCUCUCUGAGUCUCAGGUUUUCUUUUUUUUUUUUUUUGAGAUGUAGUCCUGCUCUGUUGCCCAGGCUGUAAUGCACAAGAAUUGCUUGAACAUGGGAGGUGGAGAUUGCAGUGAACUGAGAUCAUACUACUACACUCCAGUCUGGGCCACAGAGCAGAACUCUGUCUCAGGAAAGAAAGAAAGAGAGAGAGAAAGAGAGAGAGAGAGAGAGAGAGAGAGAGAGAAAGAAAGAAAAUUCAAUGCAAUGAUUAUUAGAGGGGUAAGUCCAUCGGGACAAAUCAGGGGGCAUUCCCACUGAGGCAGGACUUGAGAUGAAUCUUGGAAGCAGAAAUGCUGGGUCUGUUGGGCUGGCCAGAGAUAAGGAGGACAUUGUGGGCAAGAGCAACAGCACCUGCAAGGUUGUGAUGAGUGAAACUGUGGAAACUCAGUUUGCCUGAGGAAACUGCAAUGUGGCAAGUGGGAAAUGAACCCAAGCUAAAAGGGGCCAGCAGCUGGGUGUAAAUUUUGUCCUGUAACCCACGGAGAGCCAAGAAGGAUUUUGAGCCAGGGAGUGACAUGAUAGGAUUUCAUGAUCAGAUCAUUGUAACUGCUUUGAGGAGGUUGUCUUGGAAGGAAAGCAAGAGUCUUUGGCAAGAAGAUCAAGAGAAGAAAGAUUGCUAUUUCCAAAGCUCAAGUAGUGUAUUUUUCAUUGUUGUUGUUACAGUUCAAAAGUCUUUAUACUGAAAGGGGCAAGUAUGCUAUGAUCUCACACCUGUAAUCCCUUCCCAGUUUAUCUGCAUGAGAAAGACACUUGGAAUGGUGCAUACCUAAAGCUGGCUUCUGCUCGAUGGGGAUGUAGAUUCUUGUGUCAGGUUUUUGGGGAGGCUUUACGCUGUGGCUGCCAGCCCAUCCUACUGACAGCCGACUUCAUUAGGAUGCAGAGCUUUUUAACCGUAUCAAAGAGAAGGAUAGGAGCUUAAAAUAUGAAACUCCCGCUUUUGAUAUGCUUAAAUUCUGGGUCUGAUAUCUUUUUGAAAGAAUUAGGUUUUUAAUUGAAAUAGCACAUGCAUAUAUUUAACAUCAAAUGGGUAAGGCUUUCACGGAAAAUCCAGAUUCCCCUGCCCUCUUCCUGCCUGUCCUUAGCCCUAUUUCCCAGAGUGAAUCAGAGACAGGUCAGUACCUCUAAAGAAUAAGCUCAUGUUGCUCCUUCUCAGUUAACUUAGACUUCUGGACCCUCAGCAAUGUCCUGGGACUCACACUGGGGGAGGCAGAAAGACCAGUACGCCCACUCUCGCCACUUGUACUUCCCAUUUUCCCACUGGCAAAGUGUGGAACAUUUAUACUCCCUCCCACGCCCACACUGAAGACUCCUGUGCUUUAUCUGCAAGAUUAAUUCCAACAAUUGAUAAACGGAUGAACAGUGUUUACAUUAGGAGGCUUCUCAAUGGCCUUCACUGCCCAUCGAAGCAGUCGGCUUUGAUCACAUGUCCUGUGUGUCCAGCUCUGUCUUUGCCCUCAGCUUUCUAAUUGCCCUUUAAGGGACUAUCUGAGGCUGGGCGAGGUGGCUCACGCCUGUAAUCCCAGUAGUUCAGGAGGCUGAGGCGGGAGGAUCUCUUGAGCCCAGGAGUUCAACACCAACCUGGCUUCUGGUUGGGUGACAAAGCAAGAGCUUGUCUCUACAAAACAUGAAAAAAUUAACCAGACAUGGUGGAGUGCGCCUGUGGUCCUAGCUAAGGUGAGAGGAAUGCUCUAGCCCAGGAGUUUGAGGCUGCAGUGAGCUGUAAUUGCACCACUGCAUUCCAGCCUGGGUGACAGAGUGAGACCCUGUCUCAAAAAAAAAAAAAAAAAAGGAACUAUCUGGCUUCAUCCUAAGAGUAGUUGCAUUUUAAACUCUUAGGCAGCUUCUUUUACUGUAAAAUGGGAAUAAAAAUUAACAGUCUAAAUUCCUAAAGUGAUUAUGAAGGCUGAACAGGUGGUGCCUGUUCCUCAGGCCCCUCCCUUGGGGCCCCUCCAGCCCGAUGUGUCCCAGGCUAAUCUCAAACUCCUGGGCUCAGGUGAUCUGCCUACCUUAGCCUCCUGAAGUGUUGGGAUUACAGACAUAAGCCACCACUCCCAGGUUGCUCUUAAAUUUUAUUUUUUUAUCCAGGAGCGUGGGUCAUCAUUUCUUUCAAAUAAUGCUUCUAUUUAUGAGAUUUUUCUUUGUAGAAAAUGUGGGAAAUGUUAAGAGUAUAAGGAAGAAAAUAAGUCGUGUUAACACAAUUGCUGCAUUUUUGUUUUUUUCUUUGCAUAUUUCUUUCAAACUUGAAAUCAUGUAAUGUCAACAAGUUUACUGGAUUUUUCUCCUAAAUGUAGUAUUAGUGUUUCCAUGUGUUGUAAAGAGCAAGCUUUUGGUAUCAUUUUUAAUGUAAUAUAAUGUUAUAACAUCCUAUUGCAAUUAUAGCUUGUCUUUCUCCCAAUUUUAUCUGUACUAUCAGGUAUUAAGAAUAUUUGGCCGGGCGCGGUGGCUCAAGCCUGUAAUCCCAGCACUUUGGGAGGCCGAGACGGGUGGAUCACGAGGUCAGGAGAUCGAGACCAUCCUGGCUAACGCGGUGAAACCCCGUCUCUACUAAAAAAUACAAAAAAAAAA
Macaca fascicularis (crab-eating macaque) is the source of this 6717-nucleotide long non-coding RNA. The record is from Ensembl. Lineage: Eukaryota; Metazoa; Chordata; Mammalia; Primates; Cercopithecidae.